UAGCCUGUUCUUUAAUCCUUAGAGAAUCAGGAGAAGAAGAUGGAUUCUCUAGCAUGCGGUAAUAGAUAGAAAUGGAUUCAGAUGGCGUUUUUGCUUCUAAAGCCUGAGCAAUUGAAUCAGUAGUCGCAGGGAGAUAUGAUGUAGACAUUGUCAAUGAUUUUAAAUGCAAGUCCUGAGCCGCAGAAGAUCGAGCAGUUGAU
This 200-nucleotide unclassified non-coding RNA is filed under the name Hevea brasiliensis (rubber tree). Lineage: Eukaryota; Viridiplantae; Streptophyta; Magnoliopsida; Malpighiales; Euphorbiaceae. The record is from RNAcentral.